Molecule: non-coding RNA, 61 nt
Filed under: unclassified sequences
Description: RAGATH-18 RNA
Rfam family: RAGATH-18 RNA
About the family: Actinobacteria, Firmicutes, Fusobacteria, Thermotogae (1 example). Nearby to self-cleaving ribozyme genes
Source: Rfam by way of RNAcentral
GUUGCGGAGUGCUAUAUCAACGAGAGUAGCUUCGGCAAAAUCGGGCACUAUGAAACAACGA